This is a long non-coding RNA of Malaclemys terrapin pileata, 593 nucleotides long. RefSeq lists it as uncharacterized. NCBI's taxonomy places the organism in Eukaryota, Metazoa, Chordata, Testudines, Emydidae. The record is from RefSeq and is a predicted model, not a curated record. The transcript has 12 exons.
GCCAUUUGCUCAGCUGCUGCUGGCGCGAGAUCGUGGGGGUUUAAAGCUCGUGAGUGCUUGCUAGACAUGGGUCUUACCAGUCAUGUGCAUCUGCAGCCUCUUCACAUGUUACCCCCACCCCCAGAUGGAGUCCGGCCUCAUAUACAGGUGAACUCCUCCUGGGGGUGAAUGCCUGUCUCAGGUGAGAUGUCUUGAUCUGGGAAGGGUGCCUGGAGUGAGAGUCUUGGCCAGCUCCUGACCCAGCUGCCCAGGUUAAAGAUGCUGGAGUUGAUGGCUCCACUGCACUGAGUCACAGCAGGUAGCCAGAGGCCUGUGGUCUGAAGUGCCUGGAAUGGAGCCUUGGAUUUCCUGCCAGGGAAUGGGCAGUCAGCCAUUGGAGCUGCAGGGCUGCCUGGAAGCAUGGCUCAUCCGAGCACUGCAGGUUGGAGCAUGUGGGCCAGAUGCAGCUUUUCCAUCACACCUGCCUCCAGGAAGAGCUCUCUGCUGAGCUGUGACAAACCCAGCAGCAGCUUAGUGUUGGUGGGGGCAGUCGGCCCCUUAGUGUGUGUAGUUCUGUGUGUACUGAUGGUUAAAUAAAACAUCUCUGCACAGAG